GCUGUGGUGUCCGAGUGGUUAAGGAGAUGGACUCGAAAUCCAUUGGGCUAUGCCCGCACAGGUUCGAAUCCUGUCCACAGCG
This 82-nucleotide transfer RNA is filed under the name Homarus americanus (American lobster). RNAcentral describes it as "tRNA-Ser". It matches the Rfam family "tRNA". From Rfam's summary of the family: Transfer RNA (tRNA) molecules are approximately 80 nucleotides in length. Their secondary structure includes four short double-helical elements and three loops (D, anti-codon, and T loops). RNAcentral also lists the same sequence under 5 other names. The record is from Rfam by way of RNAcentral. Lineage: Eukaryota; Metazoa; Arthropoda; Malacostraca; Decapoda; Nephropidae.